RNAcentral lists this ribosomal RNA (910 nucleotides) under uncultured Chloroflexales bacterium. Its description in RNAcentral is "bacterial SSU rRNA". It matches the Rfam family "Bacterial small subunit ribosomal RNA", at positions 10 to 911 of the family's 1533-position model. Lineage: Bacteria; Bacillati; Chloroflexota; Chloroflexia; Chloroflexales. The record is from RNAcentral.
GGUUUGAUCCUGGCUCAGGAUGAACGCUGGCGGCGCGCCUAACACAUGCAAGUCGAGCGAGCAGUCACGGUCCUUCGGGACUAUGGCGGGCGAGCGGCGAACGGGUGAGUAACACGUGGGUAACCUGCCCCAGAGACGGGGAUAACCACUGGAAACGGUGGCUAAUACCCGAUGGCCUCAUCUGCUCUUUGGGGUGGAUGAGGAAAGGGGCGGCAGUCGAAAGGCUGUCGCGCCGCUCUGGGAGGGGCCCGCGGCCUAUCAGCUAGUUGGUGGGGUAACGGCCUACCAAGGCGACGACGGGUAGCUGGCCUGAGAGGGUGGUCAGCCACACGGGGACUGAGACACGGCCCCGACUCCUACGGGAGGCAGCAGUGAGGAAUCUUGCACAAUGGGCGCAAGCCUGAUGCAGCGACGCCGCGUGGAGGAAGAAGCCCCUCGGGGUGUAAACUCCUUUUCUGGAGGAAGAGGAAGGACGGUACCCCAGGAAGAAGCCACGGCUAACUCCGUGCCAGCAGCCGCGGUAAUACGGAGGUGGCGAGCGUUAUCCGGAUUUACUGGGCGUAAAGCGUCUGUAGGCGGUCGGGCAAGUCGGUGGUGAAAUCUCCCGGCUCAACUGGGAGGGGUCCAUCGAAACUGCUCGACUCGAGGGCCGGAGAGGGGCAUGGAAUUCCCGGUGUAGCGGUGAAAUGCGCAGAUAUCGGGAGGAACACCAGAGGCGAAGGCGGUGCCCUGGCCGGUACCUGACGCUGAGAGACGAAAGCGUGGGGAGCGAUCGGGAUUAGAUACCCCGGUAGUCCACGCCGUAAACGAUGGGUGCUCGGUGUUGGUCCCGUACAGGGAUCAGUGCCCAAGCUACGCGAUAAGCACCCCGCCUGGGGACUACGGCCGCAAGGUUAAAACUCAAGGAUUU